CCUACGGGAGGCAGCAGUGGGGAAUUUUGGACAAUGGGGGCAACCCUGAUCCAGCAAUGCCGCGUGAGUGAAGAAGGCCUUCGGGUUGUAAAGCUCUUUUGUCAGGGAAGAAACAGCAGCUCUAACGCAGUCUGCGAAUGACGGUACCUGAAGAAUAAGCACCGGCUAACUACGUGCCAGCAGCCGCGGUAAUACGUAGGGUGCGAGCGUUAAUCGGAAUUACUGGGCGUAAAGCGUGCGCAGGCGGUUUGAUAAGCCAGAUGUGAAAUCCCCGAGCUCAACUUGGGAACUGCGUUUGGAACUGUCAGACUAGAGUGCGUCAGAGGGGGGUGGAAUUCCGCGUGUAGCAGUGAAAUGCGUAGAGAUGCGGAGGAACACCGAUGGCGAAGGCAGCCCCCUGGGAUGACACUGACGCUCAUGCACGAAAGCGUGGGGAGCAAACAGGAUUAGAUACCCUGGUAGUCCACGCCCUAAACGAUGUCAAUUAGCUGUUGGGGGUUAGAAUCCCUGGUAGCGUAGCUAACGCGUGAAAUUGACCGCCUGGGGAGUACGGCCGCAAGGUUAAAACUCAAAGGAAUUGACGG
This 584-nucleotide ribosomal RNA is filed under the name uncultured beta proteobacterium. RNAcentral describes it as "bacterial SSU rRNA". It matches the Rfam family "Bacterial small subunit ribosomal RNA", at positions 338 to 916 of the family's 1533-position model. The record is from RNAcentral. Lineage: Bacteria; Pseudomonadati; Pseudomonadota; Betaproteobacteria.